CAAACCCAAAAAUGCCAUGACAAAAACACUACUACUACAGAAGCCCUAGCCUCCCUCGUUUGUCUUUCGCUGUCUAUCACCGUUUCAUCAUCUACAGCACGGUUGUAAUCAGAAGCUUCUUAGCUAGGUGAAUCGCACAAAAGUUAUUAAUUUCGGGUAUUACGCGCAUAACAAGGUUGGUAAAGGUAUUGGGCUACGAGUGAGGAGACGCUUAGAAUAACCACCUAGUCAAGAGACAAUUUCUAUUUUAGUUUUAAGUUGGAUUUUGUUAUUUAUUUUAUGGGAAUUGGUUGUAUUAUUUUAUGGGCCACCUUUUAGACCACUUAGUUAAUUUUGACUUUAACGGUUUUAAAUUAUUCUGUUGCUUUGCAUUUAUUUUCUAAGGAGAAUAAAUGUAGCAGUGACACUCCCAAGGUUUGGACGAUGGUUUUACGAAAUAAAAACGGGG
Molecule: long non-coding RNA, 448 nt
Organism: Spinacia oleracea (spinach)
Lineage: Eukaryota; Viridiplantae; Streptophyta; Magnoliopsida; Caryophyllales; Amaranthaceae
Exons: 3
Source: RefSeq, a predicted model, not a curated record